CACGGGCAAGAGUUCAUUAGGUGACACAUGGCCUCCAGAUGCCCCAGGAAUGAGCCUCAGGUUAUGAAAGGCAACUCGUCAGCUUCAGUGUGUGGCUGUGUCCUGGGAGACUUCGAAGCCAUCUUGUCCAGAGCUGGUCAGGUUAGCACCCUGCUGAUGCUCCCAGAUUGGAAUGAUCCCGUGCAUACUCUACAGGCUCCCUCCAGCUGCACCUGCCUGUUUUUCUGGACUCCCCAACAGUAUCACAAAGACACUCCACCAG
This 262-nucleotide long non-coding RNA is filed under the name Chinchilla lanigera (long-tailed chinchilla). RNAcentral describes it as "lncRNA (ENSCLAG00000027941.1)". The record is from RNAcentral. Lineage: Eukaryota; Metazoa; Chordata; Mammalia; Rodentia; Chinchillidae.